Molecule: ribosomal RNA, 432 nt
Filed under: uncultured bacterium
Lineage: Bacteria
Description: partial 16S ribosomal RNA
Rfam family: Bacterial small subunit ribosomal RNA
Source: RNAcentral
AACGAACGCUGGCGGCAUGCCUAACACAUGCAAGUCGAACGAGACCUUCGGGUCUAGUGGCGCACGGGUGCGUAACGCGUGGGAACCUGCCCUUAGGUUCGGAAUAACUUCCCGAAAGGGGUGCUAAUACCGGAUAAUGUCUUCGGACCAAAGAUUUAUCGCCUUUGGAUGGGCCCGCGUUGGAUUAGCUAGUUGGUAGGGUAAAAGCCUACCAAGGCGACGAUCCAUAGCUGGUCUGAGAGGAUGAUCAGCCACACUGGGACUGAGACACGGCCCAGACUCCUACGGGAGGCAGCAGUGGGGAAUAUUGACAAUGGGCGAAAGCCUGAUCCAGCAAUGCCGCGUGAGUGAUGAAGGCCUUAGGGUUGUAAAGCUCUUUUACCCGGGAUGAUAAUGACAGUACCGGGAGAAUAAGCUCCGGCUAACUCCGUG